UAUUGCACAAUGGGCGAAAGCCUGAUGCAGCGACGCCGCGUGAGGGAAGACGGUCUUCGGAUUGUAAACCUCUGUCUUUGGGGAAGAAAUCAGACGGUACCCAAAGAGGAAGCUCCGGCUAACUACGUGCCAGCAGCCGCGGUAAUACGUAGGGAGCGAGCGUUGUCCGGAAUUACUGGGUGUAAAGGGAGCGUAGGCGGGCUUGUAAGUUGAAUGUCUAAUCCACCGGCUCAACCGGUGAUCGCGUUCAAAACUGCAGGUCUUGAGUGAAGUAGAGGCAGGCGGAAUUCCUAGUGUAGCGGCGAAAUGCGUAGAUAUUAGGAGGAACACCGGUGGCGAAGGCGGCCUGCUGGACGACAACUGACGCUGAGGCUCGAAAGCGUGGGGAGCAAACAGG
RNAcentral lists this ribosomal RNA (397 nucleotides) under uncultured bacterium. Its description in RNAcentral is "bacterial SSU rRNA". It matches the Rfam family "Bacterial small subunit ribosomal RNA", at positions 362 to 776 of the family's 1533-position model. The record is from RNAcentral.